Molecule: non-coding RNA, 80 nt
Organism: Lupinus angustifolius (narrow-leaved blue lupine)
Lineage: Eukaryota; Viridiplantae; Streptophyta; Magnoliopsida; Fabales; Fabaceae
Source: Rfam
GGCCAAUGAUGUAUAUUCUAUUGUAAGUAUUACCAGAUUAAGUUGUGAUGAUAAUACAAAUUGUCACUACCUCUGAGGCC